Molecule: transfer RNA, 67 nt
Filed under: Marmota monax (woodchuck)
Lineage: Eukaryota; Metazoa; Chordata; Mammalia; Rodentia; Sciuridae
Rfam family: tRNA
About the family: Transfer RNA (tRNA) molecules are approximately 80 nucleotides in length. Their secondary structure includes four short double-helical elements and three loops (D, anti-codon, and T loops).
Source: Rfam by way of RNAcentral
GGAGUUGUGGCUCAGUGGCAGAGCACUUGCCUAGCAUGUGAGGCACUGGGUUCAAUCCUCAGCACCA